Molecule: non-coding RNA, 85 nt
Organism: Felis catus (domestic cat)
Lineage: Eukaryota; Metazoa; Chordata; Mammalia; Carnivora; Felidae
Source: Rfam
GCCUGGGUGGCUCAGUUGGUUGAGCGUCUGACUUCGGCUCAGGUCACGAUCUCACGGUCCGUGAGUCCGAGCCCCGUGUCAGGCG